CAGCCGCCGCGGUAAUACCGGCGGCCCGAGUGGCGGUCACUAUUAUUGGGCUUAAAGCGUCCGUAGCCGGGUUGGGAAGUCCUCCGGGAAAUCUGGCCGCUUAAAGGUCAGAAUGCCGGAGGAUACUCCCAGCCUAGGGACCGGGGGAGGCCGAGGGGAUUCCCGGGGUAGGGGGGGAAUCCUAUAAUCCCGGGAGGACCACCUGUGGCGAAGGCGCUCGGCUGGAACGCGUCCGACGGUGAGGGACGAAGGCCAGGGGAGCAAACCGGAUUAGAUACCCGGGUAGUCCUGGCUGUAAACGAUGCGGACUUUGUGUCGGACAAGCUAUGAGCUUGUCCGGUGCCGGAGGGAAACCGUUAAGUCCGCCGCCUGGGGAGUACGGCCGCAAGGCUGAAACUUAAAGGAAUUGGCGGG
This 414-nucleotide ribosomal RNA is filed under the name uncultured microorganism. RNAcentral describes it as "bacterial SSU rRNA". It matches the Rfam family "Archaeal small subunit ribosomal RNA", at positions 459 to 872 of the family's 1478-position model. The record is from RNAcentral.